Molecule: ribosomal RNA, 410 nt
Filed under: uncultured microorganism
Description: bacterial SSU rRNA
Rfam family: Bacterial small subunit ribosomal RNA
Source: RNAcentral
CAGCCGCCGCGGUAAUACGUAGGGUGCGAGCGUUAAUCGGAUUUACUGGGCGUAAAGUGUGCGCAGGCGGCCCGUUAAGACAGGUGUGAAAUCCCUGGGCUCAACCUAGGAAUUGCGCUUGUGACUGGCGGGCUCGAGUACGGUAGAGGGGGGUGGAAUUCCUGGUGUAGCAGUGAAAUGCGUAGAGAUCAGGAGGAACACCGAUGGCGAAGGCAGCCCCCUGGGCCUGUACUGACGCUCAUGCACGAAAGCGUGGGGAGCAAACAGGAUUAGAUACCCUGGUAGUCCACGCCCUAAACGAUGGGUACUAGCCGUUUGGUGCGCGAUAGCGCUGAGUGGCGAAGCUAACGCGUGAAGUACCCCGCCUGGGGAGUACGGCCGCAAGGUUGAAACUUAAAGGAAUUGGCGGG